This 274-nucleotide ribosomal RNA is filed under the name uncultured bacterium. RNAcentral describes it as "partial 16S ribosomal RNA". It matches the Rfam family "Bacterial small subunit ribosomal RNA", at positions 523 to 796 of the family's 1533-position model. The record is from RNAcentral.
AUACGGAGGGUGCAAGCGUUACUCGGAAUCACUGGGCGUAAAGCGCGCGCAGGCGGCUUGAUAAGUUGGAUGUGAGAGCCUACGGCUCAACCGUAGAACUGCAUCCAAAACUGUCAAGCUAGAGUCUGGGAGGGGAAGAUGGAAUUAGUUGUGUAGGGGUAAAAUCCGUAGAGAUAUCUAGGAAUACCAAAAGCGAAGGCGAUCUUCUGGAACAGUACUGACGCUGAGGCGCGAAAGCGUGGGGAGCAAACAGGAUUAGAAACCCCAGUAGUCC